UAUGACCGAGUUUUCAAAUCAGUGGAAUUCGAGGAUGAUAGCUAAGGAAAUGGAGAAAACAGCAAUCUGGAUUAAAUUGUCAAACUAAGGCAACCAUGCAUGGCAUCAGACAGGAGACGCGUCCAACCACGAUGUAUACUGAUUUCACAUCCUCAAGAGGUCAUAACACCAGAGACGGUCCAGGAUUUGCCUCCUCUCUCAAGCAUCUUGUUGAACGUUCUCCUCAAAUCGCCCCCGGUCACAAGAGAAGGUUCGUUUCUGUGGCUAAGGAGGAAGGACAAGAAUGAAGAACUAAAGGCCAGCUGCAGGGGAUGACAGGCAGACGUCCCUGCCACUGCUCCGCCACCAGGAGACGUACCGGGAUAAGGAGAGGAACAUUGAGGAGUGGUGGUCCCCGGGUGAUGACCCUCCAGCUGGUUUACAGGCACUGCUGGAGGUGCAACAGGCAGAGAUGCCCAGCAGAAUGUUACCACCUAUCUACCUGUAUAAAGUAUGUAUAUCAUAUUGUAGUGAAUUUGGGGGGUAUCCCCUACUGGGACUCGAACCCAUCAACUGUCAAGCCAACACCUUAACCGUUAUGCCAAGAGGUCCGAACUGCUUGAUGAAGUCGCAAGGUGUUGUGUUAGGGUCAGUUUGUUAUAUCUGGAGUACUUCUCCUGUCAUAAUCGCUGUCCUGUGUGAAUUUAAGUAUGGUCUCUCUAAUUCUCU
Long non-coding RNA from Salvelinus namaycush (lake trout), 708 nucleotides. RefSeq lists it as uncharacterized. Lineage: Eukaryota; Metazoa; Chordata; Actinopteri; Salmoniformes; Salmonidae. The record is from RefSeq and is a predicted model, not a curated record. The transcript is spliced from 3 exons.